GCUGGGCUCAGCUGGUCACCUCCAUCCACCUCCCAACAAACUAGCAUGCACGCCCAUGGAAUCCGGCCAUGACAGCCCGCAACGGAGGGCCAUGCCGUAUCGCAUAUAAGACCCCCUCUCCUCAUCCACCUCUCCGCCCAUCAAAUUUUUCGUGAGCUACCAUCGCCGAGCCAUCGUACAGAAUAGAGAGAGGGAAAGAGAGGUUGGCCGCCCCGCUGACUGCUCGGGGCGGCGCCGUCGGUGGUCCGGAGUCGGACCAGGGAGCUUCACCAGGUUGCACUGUGGUGUUUCGGAGCCUCGUCGCGUGAGGGCGAAUAGUGGGGAUCCGACGAUUUCUCACCGGAGAUCAGGGAAACAUUGCCGGCCGCCCGCCACCGUGGCCAAGGGAGUCUGCGCUGCGAUUGCCGGUGAGACACAUCCUUCGAAGUUCACUGCCUUCCCUACUACGUCUAGAAGCGAUCCAUUCAGCAUAGGCCA
Molecule: long non-coding RNA, 477 nt
Filed under: Zea mays
Lineage: Eukaryota; Viridiplantae; Streptophyta; Magnoliopsida; Poales; Poaceae
Description: long non-coding RNA NONZMAT003503
Source: RNAcentral